This 242-nucleotide ribosomal RNA is filed under the name uncultured bacterium. Its description in RNAcentral is "partial 16S ribosomal RNA". It matches the Rfam family "Bacterial small subunit ribosomal RNA", at positions 91 to 334 of the family's 1533-position model. The record is from RNAcentral.
UAUCAUGGCGGACGGGUGAGUAACGCGUAAAGAACUUGCCAUAUGGACAGGGAUAACCGAUGGAAACGACGGAUAAGACCUGAUAUAAUGAAUUAAUGGCAUCAUUGAUUCAUGAAAAAGCAAUGCCAUAUGAGAGCUUUGCGUCCUAUUAGCUAGUUGGUAGUGUAACGGACAACCAAGGCGAUGAUAGGUAGCCGGCCUGAGAGGGUGGACGGCCACAAGGGGACUGAGAUACGGCCCUU